RNAcentral lists this ribosomal RNA (408 nucleotides) under uncultured bacterium. Its description in RNAcentral is "partial 16S ribosomal RNA". It matches the Rfam family "Bacterial small subunit ribosomal RNA", at positions 28 to 526 of the family's 1533-position model. The record is from RNAcentral.
GACGAACGCUGGCGGCGUGCUUAACACAUGCAAGUCGAACGAAGUGGCGAACGGGUGAGUAAUACGUGAGUAACCUGCCCUCCUUUUUGGGAUAAGCCUUGGAAACGGGGUCUAAUACCGAAUAAAGGGGGAAGGGCUCGCGGCCUAUCAGCUUGUUGGUGGGGUGAUGGCCUCCCAAGGCGGUGACGGGUAGCCGGCCUGAGAGGGUGACCGGGCAACUUGGGAAUGAGAUACGGCCCAGAGUGUAACGGAAGGAAGGAGUGGGGUAUAUUGCGCAAUAGGCGACAGCCUGAUGCAGCGACGCCGCGUGGGGGAUGAAGGCUUGCGGGUUGUAAACAUCUUUCGCUAUCGAAAGGGUAGGUGGAGAAGAAGCGCCGGCUAACUACGUGCCAGCAGCCGCGGUAAUAC